GCUGAGCAAGGGCGAAUUAGGGACUUUCAAAUCCCUCUUAUGGCUUUUCCCCUAGAAGAUGUGCUACAGAAGACCCCAUGGUCUGAGGCGGAAGAGGCCAAUGGCAAGAAACUGGCAGAAAUUCUGGACAACACAUCCUCAGAAUGUUGGAUAAAAAAUGCGACUGUGAAGAUCUUGGAACAGAGGAAUCUUCCGGAAUUGUCUCAGAUGGCAAAGGUUGAGUUGCUGGAUGACAGACAGGUGGAAGACGCAGAUAACCCUGAGCUCAGAGACUCAAAAGAGGUCUUGGAGUUAGCAAAGCCAGGUGAGAAGGAAGGAUGGAGAAACGUGAUGGACGAACAGUCUUUGGUCCGGAGGAACAGCUUUUGGCGAGGAGACAGUGACAAUUUCCACGACCAUGUCACUCAGAGAAACCAAAGGUUCAUUCCAUUCUUGAAUCCCAGCAGACCACGUAGCUAUCACCUUACACGGUGGGUCUGCAGGGUCCUGCGGGAGUGGGGAAAACCACGGCGGCUUAAAAAGUGUAUGCUGGACUGGAAAGACUACAACCUCGGCCCGAAGGCCAGAUACGCUUUCUACAUCAGCUGCAAGGGGCUCAGUCACCUGGGCCCCUGCAGUUUUGCAGAGCUGAUUGCCAAAGACCGGCCUGAAUUGCAGGAUGUCAUUGCAAACAUCCUAGGCUAAGCUCAGAGAAUCCAGCUCAUGGUCAACGCCUUGAUGAGCUGAGCGUCCCACCCGGGGCGCUGAUCCAGGACAUCUUCGGGGACUGGAAGAAACUGAAGCCGGUGCCGGUCCUCCUGGGGAGUUUGCUGAAGAGGAAGAUGUUACCCGAGGCCACCCUGCUGGUCACCGCGGGACCCAGGUCCCUGAAGGACCUGCAGCUCCUGGCCGAGAAGCCCAUCAACAUAAGAGUGGAGGGGUUCCUGGAGGAGGACAGGAAGGCUUAUUUCCUGAGACACUUUGGAGAGGAGGACCAAGCCAUGCGUGCCUGUGAACUUUUGAGAAGCAAGGCACCCUGUUCCUGCUGGGCUCGGCGCCCACGGUGUGCUAAACCAUGUGAAGAGUCUGAAGCUGCAGAUGGAGAAGCGGGGAGGACCCGGUCCCCACCUGCCACACCCACACAGGGCCAUUCCAGCACUUUCUCUGCAGCCGCUUCCUGCAGGGUGCACAGCUUUGGGACGAGCUUCGGGCGCUGAGCCUCCUGGCUGCGCAGGGCCUGUGGGCGCAGAUGUCCGUAUUUCAUGGUGAGGACCUGGAGAGGUUCGGGCGCAGGAGUCUGACCUCCGCAGGUUCCUGGAUAGAGGCAUCCUACGCCAGGACAGAGCCGCCAGAGGUCAGCGCAGCAAGGCGGGGUCCUCCCCUGCAUCUGCAGCGAGGCAGGCGGGCGGGAAGCUGAGGACCUGCGAUCUCGUGAGACACCGGUGCCCUCCCCUCCAGGGAGCAGAGGCAGCUCUGGAAGUCAGUUUAAUGCGGACACCGCGACCGGCGGGGCGCAGAACACUUCUCCCAGCGUCCUGGGCUCCGCGAGCACAAUUUUAAAACCAGCGGCGAAAUCCGAUCCUUCCGCAGUGGAGCGCGGCCGCCGCUCCGAGCGCCAUCUCAGACUCCACCGGCUUCUGUGCCGCGAGUCACCCCGGGUCGGCCCUCGGGGCUGGGUAGGCGGGCGCCGCGCCGAGUUUCUGCCCCUCCCGCGCGGAACGGUGGUCGCCGCUGCGCGACCCGGAGGGGUUAACCGUGACCGGGCGCGCGUGAGGCUCCGGAGCACUAGCCGGGCGCAGCCCGCGGGGGUGCACAGGGGCGCGCGGGAGCUGGGAUGGAGGACGUCUUGGCCGGGCCCCUGCACCGGGCGGCGGCGGAGGCGGCCGAGGCAUGAGCGCGGCCCGGGGUGACGCUGCUGCCCUUAGUGCCCCUCACAGGGACUGCGGAGGCGGACGAGGGCGGCGGCCACUGGAGCUUCAUUGACUGCGAGAUGGAGGAGGUGGACCUGCAGGACCUGCCCAGCGCCACCAUCGCCUGCCACCCGGACCCGCCCUUGUUCAUGGACGGCCUGUGCCGGGCCAAAUUUGAGUCUGUCUUUAGGACAUAUGGCAAGGACAUCGCCUUUCAGUAUUUUAAGAGUUUCAAACGAGUCAGAAUAAACUUCAGCAACCUCUUCUCCGCAGCAGAUGUCAGGCUCCAGCUGCAUAAGACUGAGUUUCUGGGAAAGGAAAUGAAGUUAUAUUUUGCUCAGACCUUACACAUAGGAAGCUCGCACCUGGCUCCGCCAAACCCCGACAAGCAGUUUCUGAUCUCCCCUCCCGCCUCUCCACCAGUGGGGUGGAAACAAGUGGAAGACGCAACCCCAGUCAUAAACUAUGAUCUCUUAUAUGCUAUCUCCAAGCUGGGGCCAGGGGAAAAGUAUGAAUUGCAUGCAGCGACUGACACCACUCCCAGCGCGGUAGUCCACGUAUGUGAGAGCGAUGAAGAGGAGGAGGAAGAAGAGGAGAUGGAGAGAAUGAAGAGACCCAAGCCAAAAAUUAUCCAGACCAGGAAGCCGGAGUACACGCCGAUCCACCUCAGCUGACCUGGCACGUGAGGAGGAUGCAUUCCAAAUCAUACUCAUGGGAGGAAUCUUACUGUGGAGGUGGCUGGUCACGACUUCUUCGGAGGUGGGAGCCAAGAUUGGGGUGGCAGAAAUCCCAGUUCAUGUUGCUCAGAAGAGAAUCAAGGCUGUGUCCCCUUGUUCUAAUGCUGCACACCAGUGACUGUUCAUGGCACCCGGGAAUGGCUUGGGCCAAUCCCCAAGUUUGUGGUGAUUGCACAAGGACAUUUGGGACUGUCUUGAGAAAACUGAUCAUGAUAGUAUUUUGUACUUGUUCUUCUCUGGUAGGUUCUGUCUGUGCCAAGGGCAGACUGGUCAGUGGGUUCAGGAGAGAGCUUCCUGUUUCUAAGCAGCCCGCAGGGUCCACUCUCUACUGGUAGGAGGAGGUACCACAGGAAGCCUCCUAGUGCAGAGAGGUCAUGAACACAGCAGCAAUGCAGCGUGGAAAUUGUCGCGUUUCCUUUCUUCCCUCAUGUUCUCAGGUUUGUGCAUGUAUAGUACUGAUUUUCAAAACUAACCUUUGUUCGUAUAUGAAGUUACACCGUGGUUUUACAUCUUUUUGGAAGACAGGAAAGCAUCUGGAAAACUUAUCAUCUUUCCCAGAUUCUCAUUCUCGACGCUCUUUGCAACAGCACUCGCUGGUGGAACUCUUCCUGGAAUACGUUCAUUCACUCGGAGUCCUAAACUGUGCGACACGUAACCUGUACUUCUGCAAAAGCAGUUGAUCUGAAGUUUCUCUGUAGUGUUUAGCUUAUACAAUUCAGAGAAUAGCAGUUUCACUGCCAACUCUCAGUGGGUGAGACAUUUUACUUUCGGUGUUUGGAGUCGGACAUCAGUUUCUGUUAUUUCUUUGAUGUGGUGGUUUCUAUACAUGAAUCUUUUCCAACAAAAACUUUUUUGGAAACUGUUGGUUGAGAUAGUUGGGUAUUUUUACCCCACUGAGACAUCGAGAAAAAACUUGUAAAUAAAGCUGAUAGCAUAUAUUCAUACCUGUUGUACACUUGGGUGAAAAGUAUGGCAGUGGGAGACUGAGUUGUAUUAACCUACCUGUGAAUGGUAUGUUGUAGAAAAUGCUGUCCCCAACGUCUAACAGGAUUUGAAUUCAAAGCAUGUCAAGUGGACAGUAGCUCUGUGGUGAUAUGAGAGGGAUGCAGUGCCUUUCUCCAUUAAUUCCUGCUGGAAUUCUUAUGCUAGAUUAACAUUUGUAAUGUUUUUCUAGUUGUAACAUGUAUGUCUGGUAAAUAGGUAUUAUAUUUUGGCCUUACAAUGCCAUAACAAAGUUUGUCAUUUUGAAAUACCUAAUGCCAAGUAACAAUGCAUGCUUUGGAAAUUGGGAAGAUGGUUUUAUUAAAUGCUUUGAUUGUUUAUAUCAAGAAAUUGAUUGAACGUUCUCACACCCUGUUUAUGGUACUUGGUAUGAAGGAGCCUGUUUUGGAGAGACCAUUGCAUCACCAUCUAGGUAUUUCUAGUUAAGUGCUUUUAAACUGGAGAGGCUAACCUCAAAAAAUAUAUUUUUAACUGCAUUCUAUAAUAAAUGGGCACAGUAUGCUCCUUAUGUAAAAAAAUCAACAACAAUAAAUCUAGAAACCAAUCAAAUUUCUAUCAUUUCAAGCCAUAAUUAUUUCAAUUGUUUCAGGUUAUAGAGCUAU
Molecule: RNA transcript, 4230 nt
Organism: Callithrix jacchus (white-tufted-ear marmoset)
Lineage: Eukaryota; Metazoa; Chordata; Mammalia; Primates; Cebidae
Gene name: calcipressin-1 pseudogene
Source: RefSeq, a predicted model, not a curated record